Molecule: ribosomal RNA, 1160 nt
Filed under: Salmonella enterica subsp. enterica serovar Typhimurium
Lineage: Bacteria; Pseudomonadati; Pseudomonadota; Gammaproteobacteria; Enterobacterales; Enterobacteriaceae
Description: partial 23S ribosomal RNA
Rfam family: Bacterial large subunit ribosomal RNA
Source: RNAcentral
GGGUUGUGAGGUUAAGCGACUAAGCGUACACGGUGGAUGCCCUGGCAGUCAGAGGCGAUGAAGGACGUGCUAAUCUGCGAUAAGCGCCGGUAAGGUGAUAUGAACCGUUAUAACCGGCGAUUUCCGAAUGGGGAAACCCAGUGUGAUUCGUCACACUAUCAUUAACUGAAUCCAUAGGUUAAUGAGGCGAACCGGGGGAACUGAAACAUCUAAGUACCCCGAGGAAAAGAAAUCAACCGAGAUUCCCCCAGUAGCGGCGAGCGAACGGGGAGGAGCCCAGAGCCUGAAUCAGCAUGUGUGUUAGUGGAAGCGUCUGGAAAGGCGCGCGAUACAGGGUGACAGCCCCGUACACAAAAGCGCAUGUGCUGUGAGCUCGAUGAGUAGGGCGGGACACGUGGUAUCCUGUCUGAAUAUGGGGGGACCAUCCUCCAAGGCUAAAUACUCCUGACUGACCGAUAGUGAACCAGUACCGUGAGGGAAAGGCGAAAAGAACCCCGGCGAGGGGAGUGAAAAAGAACCUGAAACCGUGUACGUACAAGCAGUGGGAGCACCCUUCGGGGUGUGACUGCGUACCUUUUGUAUAAUGGGUCAGCGACUUAUAUUCUGUAGCAAGGUUAACCGUAUAGGGGAGCCGGAGGGAAACCGAGUCUUAAUUGGGCGUUAAGUUGCAGGGUAUAGACCCGAAACCCGGUGAUCUAGCCAUGGGCAGGUUGAAGGUUGGGUAACACUAACUGGAGGACCGAACCGACUAAUGUUGAAAAAUUAGCGGAUGACCUGUGGCUGGGGGUGAAAGGCCAAUCAAACCGGGAGAUAGCUGGUUCUCCCCGAAAGCUAUUUAGGUAGCGCCUCGUGAAUUCAUCUCCGGGGGUAGAGCACUGUUUCGGCUAGGGGGCCAUCCCGGCUUACCAACCCGAUGCAAACUGCGAAUACCGGAGAAUGUUAUCACGGGAGACACACGGCGGGUGCUAACGUCCGUCGUGAAGAGGGAAACAACCCAGACCGCCAGCUAAGGUCCCAAAGUCAUGGUUAAGUGGGAAACGAUGUGGGAAGGCCCAGACAGCCAGGAUGUUGGCUUAGAAGCAGCCAUCAUUUAAAGAAAGCGUAAUAGCUCACUGGUCGAGUCGGCCUGCGCGGAAGAUGUAACGGGGCUAAACCAUGCA